AACGUAGGUGGCGAGCGUUAUCCGGAUUUACUGGGCGUAAAGCGUGCGCAGGCGGUGAUGUAAGACAGGUGUGAAAUCCCCGGGCUUAACCUGGGAACUGCAUUUGUGACUGCAUCGCUGGAGUGCGGCAGAGGGGGAUGGAAUUCCGCGUGUAGCAGUGAAAUGCGUAGAUAUGCGGAGGAACACCGAUGGCGAAGGCAGCCCCCUGGGCUAGCACUGACGCUCAGGCACGAAAGCGUGGGGAGCAAACAGG
RNAcentral lists this ribosomal RNA (253 nucleotides) under uncultured bacterium. Its description in RNAcentral is "partial 16S ribosomal RNA". It matches the Rfam family "Bacterial small subunit ribosomal RNA", at positions 524 to 776 of the family's 1533-position model. The record is from RNAcentral.